AAUAAUAAUUUUGUGUAUUGAAAAAAAUGUUGCAAAUUAAAAAAAAAUUAGGAAAGAAAAAUUAUUGCCUCAAAUUUUGCAGGUGGAGAAUCAGGCCUAGUCUCUAGAGAGUAAAUAUUAUUUCUGAAGUACUCAAAAGCUUUAUCAUUUUUUGCCUCUGUUGUCUGAAAGAUAAAAAAUUGCAGUGUAACAACAUAUAUACUUUUGUCACCAAAUUUGAAUGCAUUUAUUGCAGAUUACUGGUGUAGAAUUUCAACUGAGUUACAUUUCUAACUUGCUUCUACUAGGAAAGGGAGGAAUAAAAUUCAUUACUUGUGUUUCUACAGAGCUACCCAUUUUUUGUUCAUUAAUAUGUGAUAGCUACUUGCACACUGGUUUGAGUUUUUUCUAUUUGCCUCAGCAGUAAAUAAACUUUACCAGAUUAAGGAGAAUUAUGGGUAUUUGCCAUGUGUCCCAUUUGAGGUCUCUUUGUAUGGCAGAACACACAACUUUCAGAACAUUCUUCAGAGAAAAAAAUUGUUCUGUGGAGAGUCUGAAAACAACUUUUUUUUGUUUUCUCUUGCAUAAUAAUUUUAUUUUCAACCUGCUGCAAUUACUUCUGAAUUACUGACUUCUGAGUAGAUGGAAACAUAAUUUUUUUUAAUUAGAAUGGAUUUGUAAUUUGUUUCCUUAUCUGAUGAGUCCUAAAGCUUUUAAAAAAAAACUCACCAAAGAGAACAUCACUGAAAAGUAGAGCAACUUAAUCUAGAAUUGUCAGUUGCCUGAUAGAUCAAAAACUUUUUGAUGGUAUGGAGAGCAAAAGCCUGCUUAUAACAGGGUGAAUUACUUCGGGCUCCAUGUUAUGAGGGACAUCUAAUAUUUAGUGCUUGAUAAAUAUUAGAUGAUCUGCUAAAUGUUAGAUGGUCACUAGGUAUUUUGUCUAGAACCUGAAUAGAAAUUUCAUCUGAAAUCUGAUUUAUUCUGUUAUUUUACCCAUCAAUACAUUCUGGAAAUGCAGCUGCUUUUCACAGAAAUGGCAUUAGAGAAUUACCAUUAACUAUGAAAACUCCCUUUGAUAAAAGGCUCUAAUUUGAAUUAACAUUCUCCUUCUCUUUCCUCUGAAGUGGACCCUUUGUUGUUGGUCCCUGUGACAUGAAUUAUACUCUUUAAGUUAGCUUGUUAGAGUUGAAAAAUAUAAUUUAAAAAAAAAAAAACACCAGGGGGAAAUUUCCUCUACAAACUAUUUCCUGUCCUAUCAGAUUGGAAUUAUACACCUGUAGGGUGGCUGGGUAAAGAGCAUACAUAUCUACCUUUAGUGUUAUUUUAUUUAUCUCUUAUUUGGAGAAACUCCAGGAGAAAUUAUCAUGACCAUCACAGAUUAAUUUUGCUGUUCAUCCAGAUUCCUUCGGCCAGCUAUGUCCUUCAGGCAUAAAUUCAGUUUUUGUCUUGUGAUCAUUGGGGAUACUGAGGUAUGAGGGUAGAUUGAGGAAGAAGAUGGUUUAUGGAUCCAAAGACUACAUCCAAGUUUGUUUUCUUACGCGGUCAGUUCUGAUUUUAAAUAAGGAGGGGCAUUCAUGCAAUGUACCCUAGCAUGUCUUUCUAAAAAUGCUAAUUUUUAGGGUCCACAAAGUGCUUCACGCUUGUCAGCACCAUAAUCUCCUCUGUUUAACUUGUCAUGUUUAUGUACUGUUCCAAUUUUCUCAGCACUGAGGGGUUUAUUUUCCAUUAUGUUGGACAUGUCAUCUAACUCAAGUCUGAAACCAAUUUGUGUUCCUUUGAGAGACACAACAAUGUCACAGGCAAAAAAAAAUCAAUCUAUUCACAGUUUUUCUUCCUUUUCCUUGUAAUACAUUCAUUUAAUACUUAUCACUUCCCAACUAUCUUGUCAGGAUCCUUUUUAAGCAUCAUUUUUUAGUGUUCUGUUCAUUAACUUUUCAAAGUCCUACGCAGGACUACAUGUGACCAGCACAUAAUCUAAACAUCAUAAAAUUCACAUCAAUACUGUUCCUCUCUCUUCACUUCAGGACACAGCUGUUCUUUAUGUUAAUUUCUCGACUCCAAACUUUCAGAAAUUCAUAAAAAAUUGACAUUUCUUAAAGGGGUUUUUUUGCAAACCAGGUUAUCUUGAUCAAUUUAUCAUGCUUUAUACUCUUCAGUGUUCUAUACUGCAAUAAUAUCAUGCCCAUCAAUGAUUAUUACUCUCUCAUUUCUUUUUCUUUCAGGCACCUGUGGUCUUAUGCUAAACCACCUGAACUUCAUGUCUUUUUAACCAAUAAAAUUUAAAUCACUGAAAUUAUCAGAAAGGCUUUUACUAAAUCAGUUUUGUUCUUCUUGAUAAAUAAGUUGCAUACUGAGAAUUACCUCCUGAGUGGGAAUGUGAAAGCAAAGACAUUUGUCUCUACUGGGUACGUGUCAGAGUGGACAAUAUCAAAUCUUGAGUAGCUCAAAGCAAAGCAUCUUACCUGGAGGUGCAGCCAGGGAACUGCAAAUUUAUAACUUCUCUGUUCUUUUCACAGUUUUGUUACCCUUUGUACAUGGGCCUCACAUUAACAUCCCUUGCCAAAUAUUCUGCAUUUCAAAACUAAAUGUUGUAUUUUCACAUCUAAGAGUUAUCAUGUAAACCUUGGUCUUGUGAUAAGUUUUUCUUCUCCAGUUGGUCUUCUCUUUCACAGUCUCCAGCUGUUGUCAAUCUUUCUGUUCUACCUGAAUCCCUGUAGCCAGGAAUAAGCUCAUCUGUUAAGCUGGUGUGAAGGAGUGGGAAAUUGGAAAUUAAUUAUUCCUUUCAAUAACAUCUGGAUCCAAAGCAUCAAAUAAUCAUGACAGUGCUUAUCCCCAGCUUUCACCACUGUGGCCAAGUGGCAUGAUUACCUUUUUAUUAUGUUGCCAUUGGGUGUUUGUCAUUCCACCAUGUGGUAUGAAAAUGUGUUGAUUAUGGUUAACACACCUGAGCUCCUGACACUACCCAUUUCCACUGAACAGAUUUCAAAAGAAAAUUAAUGACAUUUAGAACCAUGCAGACAGCCCGAUGCCUAUUAAACUCUAAAUACUGAAGUUACUACUGUGUAAUUUAAUAAUGACAAGCAAUCAAAGGAAACCAGGAGGUUCUCUAAGUCUCUUUAAUUACACUUAUUUGUUGCUUUAUGGUGAACUUCUGUCCAAUGCUCCCAAAUCUCAGAGAAAUCAGGAGGAGGGAGACUCUGAGCUCAUUAGCAACAUCCAGGGCCAUCUGAAGUGCACUGGCAUACCAAGAAAUCUUCACUGGAAUGGCAGAGUAAAGAUGACAACUGAAGAUCUGAAAUCUUCCAUAGAUUCUGUGUCAUAUCUGCCAAUCUGGGACAGAUUUCUGAAUAACAUUAGGUGUGGCACCCUGGAUACUAGACUGUGUUAAGUUCCUAAUUCACAGACUAUGACAUGAAAAUUUACUUGUCUGAAUAUCAAUAUCUAAAUCUGGCAUAUGUGUUGUGUGUCAACUAUAACUGAUGGGGACUUAGAUUAACUGCUGACAUGUAGGCAUCCUAUUCUAUUGAGAUGCCCAUGGAUAUUCCAUCUCACUUCCCACCAAAGGUCCUUUUGUCACAAUUGACAGCACUAGGAUACAUAUGCAAGCAAAAGAAUGGAUUUAUUGUUGAAUGUUUUUCCCCCACACUUGCUGAAGUCAUUUUGUGAAUGUAUUUUCAUGAAGAGGACUUUAGGGUGCUGUAUUAAAACAACUUAUGUACCAUCUACAUUUUAACAGAAAAUAUUUGGAACAGGCCUUGAUAUUCAUCAAUGUGACAUACAAUAAUUCACUGUGAGAUUUCUUUAUUGGGCUUAGAAAGUGUUAAACCUUAAAUGGGAAUAGAAUCUAAACACAUGAAAGAGCAGAGAGAGUGAUAUAGUUAGGCAGAGUUUCUGACUGUCAGAGAGCUCCAAAAAUAUGAUGCAGUAUUCCUGAAAAGUUUUGAGGCUUAAAUUAGCUUUCACUAAAGCCAGGCUGAGUUGUCAGACGUGUUCUUAGCAAGCAUACAAAGUCUUUAUGGGAAUGGCAGCACUUGCAGACCCUUCUAGAAUCAACAGCCACAAGCUGUCAGGGCUCUGAAGUCUCAAUUUAUAUUCCAAAUGAUGUUGCUGGUUCUGUGUGUAUGACACAUACCAGGCUUUUCACCUUGCUGGGUUUGCUCUGCUCAGGGGGAGUUGCAUUCAACAAUGUAUUUUUUGCCUGAGACAAGGAAUUGCUUUCAUUUCCAGUUCUCACAGCAUUAGAGCAGCACAGUCAAGAGUGCAAUUUCUAGUCUGGAAAGAGAACCAGUGACACUGUUUCAACAGCAGUCAUUGGACAACAGACACAAGCAAACCUGGAGAUUCUUCAGGGAAAAUUUCCCUUCAGGCAAACAAAAGGUUCUUUUUCAUGUCUGUAAAAAAAUAUACCCUUGACCUUUUCAAAAUGCAGAUAGAACCAGUGAGCAAACAUCUGAGAUGUCUUGCUCAUCAUGUAUGAGUACCUAUGCAUGCAGACUUUUCCUAAUUGAGUUAGUAUUUAAAUAAAAAUACAUAUUCUUAGACUUCAGAGAGGAAAAUGACAGUUCACCCAAUACUACCUGCACCUCCAAAACAAAAACUAGGAUAUGAACUUAAGGAUUUGAACUUUUAGUAGAAACUUCUGUCAUAAAAAGAGGCAAGGCUCUUCCUCAAUUCCAUAAGAUAACUUUUUCUACUUCAGGUCAAGUUGUUCCAGUAAAAUCUGUUCUGCAGCAGCAUUUUCUCAGUUCCAAGACAUGACUGUCCUUGAGAUAAUAUAGUUUGCUAUCAGCAAGGAAAUAAAUCUGUACCAGAGUAACACUGUUCUGGUAAUCGGUGUCUGAAAAGAGAAGACAGUUUGUGCACAAAUGAGACAUUCUAUAGGUGUUUAGUAUCUAACUUUGUCCUUGGAAAAUAAUUCGUUCUUAUUGACCGCAUAAAAAGCUUGUUCCAAAAAUGUAUUUUCAUUUCCACAAAUUGGGAUUUUUAUUAUUUUUUCAACCUCUAGUAUAUUUACACAUCAGAAACUGUCCCUAACUAUUGCAUUUGCCUCUGCACUGUUUUAGAUAUGAUACAAAAAUUCUCUGCCUCACAUCCAGAUUAAUUAGAAGGACAUGGAACUUGUUGGGUUUUUUUCCUGGUUUCAUAAAUUAUUUUAAAUCUCUGACUGAUAAGCAAUUCAUAGAGCUGUAGCAGCUAAGGAAAAUAAAUACCUGUGUGUCCAUUAGAAUGUAAAUUAACUCAUUACUAUGCCUGCUCCUGACCUUUUCUGAUGGCUGUGUUCUUGCUAACAAAGACACUUUGCUAUUCAUGAAAGUGAAAUUUAAUGGUAGCUUGAGAUUCUCUGACAUAUUUUAGAUUACAUUCUGAUAGACUCAGGUGACCGGUGAGGGUUCCAGCUUGAACAGCAAAUACUUUUAGCAUUCAUGACUUUGAAUAGCUAUCCUUUUUCUAAUUAUUUGUGAAGAUUUGAAUAUUGUUGAAAAUUUGUUGCUUCAGGAGGCUAGGUCAGAGAAACUUCAUGAACUUCACAAAAAGGGCUCCUAUGUUUAAAAAGCUGAAUAUUGACAGUACCUGACCUCACAGUCAUUUAAGAUUUUGUAUCGGCUCUAUAAACAUGGAAACUUACAAUCAUAGAAUCAUGAAAAGGUUUAGAUUGACAAUACCUUAAGAUCAUCAAGGCCAACCAUUAACCAGCACUGCAAAGUCCAUCACUAAACCAUGUCCUAAAGUACCACAUUUACACAUCUUCUAAAUACCUCCAGGGGUACUGACUCAACCAACUCCCUGGGCAGCAUGUUCCACUGCUUGGCAAUCCUUUGGGUGGAGAAAUUUUUCCAAAUAUACAAUCUAAACAUGCCCUGUGCAACUUUAGGCCAUUUUUUCUUGUCAUAUCUCUUGUUACUUGGAAAAAGAGAUCGACCCCCACCUCACCACAACCUCCUCCUGAAAUGUGUGGAGCAAAAAGGUCUCCCCUGAGCCUCUCUGUGUCCAGGUUCAACACCCCCAGCUGCCUCAGCUGCUCCUCAUCAGACUUGUGCUUCAGAUCCUUCCCUGGCCCUGUGCAAGCCCUUCUCUGGACCCAUUCCAGCAUCUCAACGUCUUUCUUGUCCUGAGAGGCCCAAAACUGAUUAAAGGUGUGGCUUCCCCAUUGCCGAGUACCGGGGAAUGAUCACUGCUCUGGGCCUGCUGGCCACACUAUUGCUGAUACAAGUCAGGAUGCUAGUGAUUGUAAGACUUCUCCCAGCUGCUUAUAGAAUAUUUCAUGAGCCUCUUCAUCCUGAUUGGGCGGUCUACAAAAGAGGAAUCCCACCAUGUUAUCUGUCUAGCUGGCCUCUCUUAAUUCUUAAACAUUCAGCCGUGUCAUCUCAUCACUAAGGUCCAGACAGUCAAGACAGCCUCUAAAAUACAGAGCUGUCUCUCCUUCUUUGCCUGUGUCUUCUGAAGAGUUUAUUAUCUUUCAUUGCAGCAGUCCAGUGAUGUGAGUCAUCUCACCACAUUUCUGUGGUGGCAGCUAUAUCAUAGCUUUCCUGUGGUACCAAGAACUGGGCUUCCAGCUCUUCCUAUUUGUUGCCUGUGCUGUGUGCAGUGGUGCAAGCAUUCUCCAGCUGGGCUAUUGAUCCUGCCACCUUUUUGGGGAGAUAAGCCCUAAUUCCUGUGUGACCACUGUCAGCUGCUUCCAUGGUUUCUAGCUCAUUAAUAACCCUCAUGUCUCUGGUGCUGCAUGGAUCCAUCCCCUACCUCCACUGAGGACAUUGGUAGCACACUGCCCCUCAGUGACAUGCAGCCCCCAGGGUUAGCUCUAGCAAGCCUGCUUUUAUCCCUUACCCUGUUCAAAUGCAGUUUAAAUCUCUUUCAAUGAGCCCUGCUACCUCCUGUGCAUAGAUUCCCCACUAUGAGACAACUGUACCCUAUCUGUUCUCUGAAGUCCUGGUGUUCUCUAAACUAACCCAUGAUCAAAAAUACAAAACUCACACUUUGCUGGUGGCACCAGACUCAGAGCCAAGGAAUGAUCUGCUGGUUCUUCCUGUUUCUUCUGUAAUCAUCUUCUGCAACUGUAAAAAUAGAGGAGAACCCUAUCUGUGCUUCUGAUCCCUUAACCACUCAUCCCAAGGCCCUGAAGUCAGUCUUGAUUUCCCUCUAACCUCUUGUUGCAGCUUCAUCACUGUCUACCUGAGAAAUUAAUAAUGGGGCUGUGUCAGGGUAGGAAGCUUUCUCUUCAUAUCUUUAACCAAGGCUGGAGGGAGGCAAAAGACUUCCAUAAGAGCUGGGUCUGGGCUGCAUAUUGGGCCUUCUGUUCCCUUCAGAAAGGAGUUUCCUGUGACAAUGACCCAUCUUUGUUUUGGGAGGCAGCUUUGGCGCAGGGAGCAGGCCAGCUUGCUGACAGCAUCACACCCAUGCUGCAUGAAGCACCAGCCUUGUUAUGUUUGGUUCCACUUGCAGAGUCUCAUACCUGCUAUGCCUGGACAUCUGGAGAGGUGAGGCAGUCCAGUCCCAGGGGAGACAUGCACUGGGCAGGCACUUGUCACCACUGCCACCAAUCCCUUAAGUCACUUUGUUCAGCCAAGGGGAGGGGAUAACAAAUUCCCUCUAUCAUCUGUCCUGUCUAUCUGGGGAGCCUGUCCCUGGGAAUAGAGGGAGUGAAGGUUAAAGCACAGUGCUGGUAACACCAAAGUCAUGGGCUCAGUCCCUGGAUGGGCUAUUCACUCAGAGUUGGACUUGACAAUCCCUGUGUGUCUGUUCCGACUCAGAAUAUUCUGACAUUCCAGUAGUCUGAUACUCUUACACUCCCCCUGAUUCCUCAGCCUAUUCACUUCUUCCCAGAGGUGUCACUGAGCACAGGAGCUCCUCACUCACUAUGCCAGCAGUCCUGGCACAAGGGCAGUGCAAAUCCUGGCACUGGGGUGGCAGUAUGAUCCCACUGGAGUUCCACCUGGGCAGCUGUGCUCCUCAUGCUGGGUGCAGAGUUAGAGAGGCCUUGUCCUUCUUCCUGUAGCUGGCAGGGUUUCAGCACCAUUCCUGUGUGCCCUUCUGUGCCAGCUGCUGCCAGACUAUCACAUCAUGCCCUUAGCCACACCAUGCCCUGUGUGCCCACCCUGCUGAUGGUGGUCCUGACCCCCAGAGAUCCCUACAGGGUAUUUUGUCCUUGGGAGGAAGGUUUGGCCUGGUGCUCCUGGUUCUGUUAGCUUGGCAUGGGCUGCAGGCUGCUAUUGGCCCUCCUCUGAGCUUCCCAAAUUCAGACAAUUCCCCCAUGCAUCUCACUGGAGCAUUCCACAGGCAAUCACGUCAGCACCAGAGCCACUCGCCUCAGCAACUUCAGUAGGAUGAGAUCAGGUACAUUUUCCUAAAGUACUCUUCUACUUCUGCAUCAUUACUGAUAAACUUCUGUCUCACACUUCAUGCUAUGUGUCAAGAAGUCUGAAACUCCGAAAGAAGAGCUGAAAUAAAGACUUGGACUCACUAAGUCACCUUGAGUAGAGAUAAACCAUUGGGCUGAUACCCCAAUGGGGUAGAGAUCUAGCUGACCUUCCUUUGAACAGUCCCUGCUUUUUGCCCAUACUUUCAUAGAUUGUCUGUAGGCAGAAAUGUAUUUAAUCUUUGGGAUCACUUUUCAUAGGUGUAGUAGGCCAAAGAGUGAAGAACAGUGAUGAUUUAAACUGGAGCACUACUUCUGUUGAAGCUUCACUUGGGUUGAGAACAGGAGCAAUCAAGUAGUGGAACAUAAAGCAAAAUGCCAGCACAAGCAACUACUGAGAAUCAGUUUGCACCGUUCUGAGUCUUUUUUCAGGAAAACCUGAUUAAUAACAUCUGAGCAUAUGUAUAUAGCCAUAAAGAAGACAGAAGUAUUUCUCAGUUUUCUUAAUGUGAACCUGCAUUUGAUGCAGCUGAUGACUGUAACCAGCCUUCAAGUUUCUGCAACACAGUGCAGUUAUUUGCCAUGCUGCUUCUAUGUCACCUACUGCAGGGGAAAGGCACUGGCUCUAAACACUGGAAUGUUGUAGUCAAAGGCAGUGGGUCGUUCAUCUCACUCUGAUGUGGGAUGUGUUGAUUUUUGGCCCAUUGCAUCAGGUGCCAUCCCAGCUAAAGACCAAAUGGACCCUCCACAGCAUGGCACCAUGUCUCUGCAGGACAGCUGACAGCAGGAGUAGCUAACUGUGCUUGAAGAGCUAGAGCUUGCAGUCUUCUUACACCUACUCUUUAUUUCAGGAUAUCUUCAUCAAAAAGGAGAAGUACAGUAAACUGAAGCUGGAAUUUGCCUUGAUAUGAAAAAAAAAAAAAAGGAAAAAAGUUUUUUCUUCCUGCUACUUUUGAACCCAAAAUCUGUUUUCAGUUCACAGUGUUUUUUAGUUAAGUUACAACUUAGAAACCGUCACAGCUCUGAUUUCCAGGGAAGCUCAUUUUGGAAGGUGGUAAAUACAACUUAAAAAGCAAUCUCAAAAAUAAUUUUUGUAACACUGCUUUAUGAGAAAAUGUAAAUCUGAGUUUUAGAAGACAUGUGGUUGUUACUGUACCUCAGCUUAUUUUUUUUAAAUUAAACAAUUAAAAUGUUCAUAUGUGUUGGCCACCAGAUGCUGUACCUUAUUACAGUUUAAAUAGCCAGCCUGGAAUAAGAAAUCAUUAUAUUCUCAAAAUCAAUUUUGCAGAAGCAUAUGAGGUCAUGUAUUUUUAUUGUUGCAUGCUUACCUGUUACCACAGUAUUUUCCUGUUAGCACCUGGCUGAAUGGUGGGACUUUUUUAACAAAAGCCAGGAACCCAACUGUCCUUUCCUAAACUGAUGCAGACCUGCACUGGCUGUCUUUACAAGGAGUGUUAAUAAAAAAGAUACAGGAAUCUUCAAGAAAUGGGCUGCAGCUUGUGUGGUGAGGUUGCCAUGAGGAGGGGAGGCUCUCAGGCACACGGGUGAGCCAAAAGCCACUCAUGGGAAGAACAGGCUGCAUGAAGUCUUUUUAGGUGGAUCUAAGCUGACUUCUGUUAUUUCAAAUUUUAAACAUGUAUGUGGAUAUGGAGGUGAGGGGUGUUCAUAUGUAAAUGUAUAUAAUAUUUUCAGCUACUCAAGUUUUUAUGAAGACAUCCCAAGUUGGACAACAGAGGGCUGGGAGUUUGGGGAAGGAGAAGCAGAAACCUGGAAGUGGAAUGAGGUUGUCAGAGCUUGUCCAGUACAUGUUUCUAGUUGGAUGUGAGUUGAUCAGAAGGUUGCACAGUAUUAGUAUUGUACUAGUACACAAAAGAAGUUGAAAGCUGCAUUUUUUGGAGAACAAAUUUCAGCCCUGUUGAUAAAUCAACAUCUGUAUAUGAACUGAUGCCAGUCUGCUGGUAGCCAUCAUUCAGGUGGGAUCCUGCUCUCCAUGGUGGGGAGGGCUCACAUGGCAUGUAAGGAGCUCCAGAAAGUAAAGGAAAAUGUGAUGUGAAGUGAGGUCAAACUAAAUGAAAGUCCACUUCUCAUUGCCUGCUCUAGAUGUGGCUGCAGAUGGCCAACACUGCUGAGUGGACACUGAACAUACAUUAUUAAGGUAUAUUCUUCUGGUGAGAUUUUAAGCCUCAGUUUUCUACUUGUAGAGGAUUUUUUUCUUUUACUCUUGCAGUGUUCUACAUACGCAAUAUUCUCUUGAAUUGCAGCAAUUGUUGCAUAUGUUUAAAUACUGGUGAUAAUUAUUUUGGUACACAACAAUUAUCCAUGAUCAGUCUCACAUUGAAUAACUGAUGAUGUCAUAUAUUCUAUAAAAGUCAGUUUUGUUUAGGUUGGGGAAAGGAUGUUUAGUUCAGCUGUGAGUGUAGAUCUUCUGUGAGACAAUAUGAAAAUUGUCAAGAAAUAGGUAAGAGAUGUCAUGUAAAGCUCCUUUAUAGAACUAGGCCUUCACCCCUUUAGCCCAGCACCUAAUCUUUGACAGAGGUGAGAGAUUAUCUCGUUUUACAUGAGGUCAAGGUGUAACAGAUGGAAUUAAAUCAGAAGAAUGGAUUUUACUAUUAGUCCCAAGGUUUGUUACCUUUAGAGAUUGUUGCUUCUAUAGCAUCUGUUUGUACACAUAUGGAUCUCCAAUUUCUUUUUUUUUUCAUUUUCCUUUGGAUCUUUUACUUGUCUGGCAUCAUAUAUCCAUUACUUUUCUUAACAUAAUUUCAUGCUGUGUGAAUAAAUACUGCUUUUUAGUUUU
Molecule: non-coding RNA, 11126 nt
Organism: Zonotrichia albicollis (white-throated sparrow)
Lineage: Eukaryota; Metazoa; Chordata; Aves; Passeriformes; Passerellidae
Source: RefSeq, a predicted model, not a curated record